This 253-nucleotide ribosomal RNA is filed under the name uncultured bacterium. Its description in RNAcentral is "partial 16S ribosomal RNA". It matches the Rfam family "Bacterial small subunit ribosomal RNA", at positions 334 to 602 of the family's 1533-position model. The record is from RNAcentral.
CAGACCUACGGGGCGCAGCAGUGGGGAAUAUUGGGCAAUGGGCGCAAGCCUGACCCAGCAACGCCGCGUGAAGGAAGAAGGCCCUCGGGUUGUAAACUUCUUUUAUCAGGGACGAAGAAGUGACGGUACCUGAUGAAUAAGCCACGGCUAACUACGUGCCAGCAGCCGCGGUAAUAUGUAGGUGGCAAGCGUUAUCCGGAUUUACUGGGUGUAAAGGGCGUGUAGGCGGGGAAGCAAGUCAGCUGUGAAAUUC